UAUCCCCUGCAAUGCGCGUGAUUGACAUUCGUUUUUUGAGCCAACACCUUGGAACCGGGGCCUUUCCUUGUUAGCGGUGUGCCUUCUGCCGAUAACCUGCAAAAGCGGGGGCAGAUCGCCUGAAGCAACAAUAGUAGGCGCCCACUUUUUCAACCGGUUCAAAAAGGUCGUCAACACGGCAUAGGCGGGGGUUUU
This 195-nucleotide non-coding RNA is filed under the name Deltaproteobacteria bacterium. RNAcentral's name for it is "6S RNA". It matches the Rfam family "6S / SsrS RNA". From Rfam's summary of the family: E. coli 6S RNA was the first non coding RNA to be sequenced, but its function was unknown until recently. It consists of 184 nucleotides that fold into an extended hairpin structure with a large single-stranded internal bulge. The record is from RNAcentral. Lineage: Bacteria; Pseudomonadati; Myxococcota; Myxococcia.